GGGGGGAUUGGCUUAUUGCACCACAUGUGUUUUUUAUUGAACAAAUUUCUUUGGUGGCGGGAGCAAUCCUACCGCCAGAGGUUAUAACUAAACCAAACUUUUUAUUUACAGUCAAACUUGAUUUAUUAUUACAAUAGUCAAAACUUUCAACAACGGAUCUCUUGGUUCUCGCAUCGAUGAAGAACGCAGCGAAAUGCGAUACGUAAUAUGAAUUGCAGAUAUUCGUGAAUCAUCGAAUCUUUGAACGCACAUUGCGCCCUUUGGUAUUCCAAAGGGCAUGCCUGUUUGAGCGUCAUUUCUCCCUCAAACCCCCGGGUUUGGUGUUGAGCAAUACGCUAGGUUUGUUUGAAAGAAUUUACCUGGAAACUUAUUUUAAGCCACUUAAGGUUAACCCAAACGCUUAAUUUGGUAAUGGCCCCCCCAAUUUAAUUCCUAACUUUGAACUCCAAUCCAGGAAGAAUACCCGCUGAACUUAAACCUAUCCAUAAGCCCGAAGAAA
This 499-nucleotide ribosomal RNA is filed under the name Candida tropicalis. RNAcentral's name for it is "eukaryotic LSU rRNA". The stretch from base 142 to 295 matches the Rfam family "5.8S ribosomal RNA". Lineage: Eukaryota; Fungi; Ascomycota; Pichiomycetes; Serinales; Debaryomycetaceae. The record is from RNAcentral.